CCUACGGGAGGCUGCAGUGAGGAAUAUUGGUCAAUGGGCGCUAGCCUGAACCAGCCAAGUCGCGUGAAGGAUGACUGCCCUAUGGGUUGUAAACUUCUUUUAUAUGGGAAUAAAGUGCAGUAUGUAUACUGCUUUGCAUGUACCUUAUGAAUAAGGAUCGGCUAACUCCGUGCCAGCAGCCGCGGUAAUACGGAGGAUCCGAGCGUUAUCCGGAUUUAUUGGGGUUAAAGGGAGCGCAGGCGGCGUGUCAAGUCAGCGGUAAAAUGUCGGGGCUAAACCCCGGACGGCCGUUGAAACUGGCGUGAUCGAGUUGGAGAGAAGUAGGCGGAAGUCGUGGUGUAGCGGUGAAAUGCAUAGAGAUCACGAAGAACCCCGAUUGCGAAGGCAGCACACCGGCUCCAAACUGACGCUGAGGCACGAAAGCGUGGGUAGCGAACAGGAUUAGAUACCCUAGUAGUC
RNAcentral lists this ribosomal RNA (459 nucleotides) under uncultured bacterium. Its description in RNAcentral is "partial 16S ribosomal RNA". It matches the Rfam family "Bacterial small subunit ribosomal RNA", at positions 338 to 795 of the family's 1533-position model. The record is from RNAcentral.